Molecule: transfer RNA, 87 nt
Filed under: Variovorax sp. JS1663
Lineage: Bacteria; Pseudomonadati; Pseudomonadota; Betaproteobacteria; Burkholderiales; Comamonadaceae
Description: tRNA-Ser
Rfam family: tRNA
About the family: Transfer RNA (tRNA) molecules are approximately 80 nucleotides in length.
Source: RNAcentral
GGAGCAUUGGCCGAGAGGUAAGGCACCGACCUGCUAAGUCGGGACUGCGAAAGCGGUUGGUCGGAUCGAUACCGACAUGCUCCGCCA